This 254-nucleotide ribosomal RNA is filed under the name uncultured bacterium. Its description in RNAcentral is "partial 16S ribosomal RNA". It matches the Rfam family "Bacterial small subunit ribosomal RNA", at positions 524 to 776 of the family's 1533-position model. The record is from RNAcentral.
CACGUAGGGUGCGAGCGUUGUCCGGAAUUAUUGGGCGUAAAGAGCUCGUAGGCGGUGUGUCGCGUCGGCCGUGAAAACCUGCAGCUUAACUGUGGGCUUGCGGUCGAUACGGGCAUCACUGGAGUUCGGCAGGGGAGACUGGAAUUCCUGGUGUAGCGGUGAAAUGCGCAGAUAUCAGGAGGAACACCGGUGGCGAAGGCGGCUCACUGGACCGGAACUGACGCUGAGGCGCAAAAGCGUGGGGAGCAAACAGG